GAUAAACGCUGGCGGCGUGCCUAACACAUGCAAGUCGAACGAUCCCGCAAGGGAGAGUGGCGGAAGGGUGAGUAACACGUGGGAAUCUACCUCCUCGCAGGGAACAACCUCUCGAAAGAGAGGCUAAUACCCAAAAGGGUCAGAAAUGAUCAGAGUCGAAAGGCGUGAGGAGAGGAGCCCGCGGCCCAUCAGCUAGUUGGUGAGGUAAUGGCUUACCAAGGCUACGACGGGUAGGGGAUCUGAGAGGAUGUCCCCCACACUGGAACUGAAACACGGUCCAGACGCCUACGGGUGGCAGCAGUGAGGAAUAUUGGACAAUGGGCGAAAGCCCGAUCCAGCAACGCCGCGUGGAGGAUGAAGGCCUUCGGGUCGUAAACUUCUUUAGAGGGAGACGAGAAAGGACGGU
This 406-nucleotide ribosomal RNA is filed under the name uncultured bacterium. Its description in RNAcentral is "bacterial SSU rRNA". It matches the Rfam family "Bacterial small subunit ribosomal RNA", at positions 28 to 476 of the family's 1533-position model. The record is from RNAcentral.